AUUUUCUUCUGCUCCAUUAAGGUCACAGAUCCAAGCAGUAUUUCUCCUGAUUUUGUGUCCCACGUUGCCUUCAGUGUGCUGACAGCAGACAAAUCAUUUCCAUAGAGAGGAGGCUUUGCAUGGUCAGCUGAUCCUCCAGUGAACUGAGAAGGUUUAUAGUCCUGUGAGUUCAACACUGCAGGACUCAGAUCUGUCAGUCAACACAGCAGAAAGCACAACCACCAUGACUCUCAUCACCAUCCUCAUGUGGACGCUGGCCUGCUGCUGUUUUACAGGUUGCAGCGGUCAGGUGACUGUGACUCAGCCUGCAGCAGUGACAUUUACUCCAGGAUCCACAGUCACUCUCACCUGCAGAACAAGCCAGGCUGUUUUCAGAUGGGAUGAUGGUAAUGAGGGUAUGCACUGGUACCAACAGAAACCUGGACAGCCUCCAAAGCUCCUAAUAAGAUUAGCGAGCAACCGUCAAUCAGGAACACCAGCUCGGUUCAGUGGCAGUGGAAGCAGGUCUGACUUCAGUUUGACCAUCAGUGGAGUUCAGAGUGAAGAUGCAGCAGUUUAUUACUGUCAGAGUUUCCAUGUAAUAAACAGUGUGUAUGUGUGGACUUUCGGUGGAGGAACCAAACUCGUCGUUGAGUCGGGCGUGGUGCGGCCCACCCUGACCGUCCUCCCCCCCUCCACACGGGAGCUGCAGCAGGGCAGUGCCACAGUGGUGUGUCUGUCCAGCGGGGGCUCCUCAGCCUGGACGCUGGGCUGGAAGGUGGGGGGCGGCAGCAGCUCCUCAGGGGUGUCACACAGCCCGGAGGUCCUGGGGACGGACGGCCGCUACAGCCUGAGCAGCACCCUGAGCCUCAGUGCGGACCAGUGGAGGAAGGCGGGCUCAGUGAGCUGUGAGGCCAGUCUGAGUGGACAGAGCCCUGUCACUCAAAGCCUGGACCCUGGCCGCUGCUCAGAGUAGAGCUUCAGCAACACUUCCUGUCUGGAAAUGAUGCUGCUUCUUUCACAGAGAUCUCCAUCAAGCUGCAGAUCUCCUGUGUUCACAUAUUUCUGCAAGUUUCUCAGCUCUCUGCUCAGCGUGUUAGUGUGCAUGUUGCUUUCUAAUACUCAUCUUCUGCAUGUUCUGCUUUAUGUUCUUUACACUUCAGAUUCGACUGAAUAUUAUCAGAGUCGCUUCAGGAGAAAC
Molecule: non-coding RNA, 1180 nt
Organism: Scatophagus argus
Lineage: Eukaryota; Metazoa; Chordata; Actinopteri; Scatophagidae
Source: the annotation of a RefSeq genome assembly